Molecule: ribosomal RNA, 270 nt
Filed under: uncultured bacterium
Lineage: Bacteria
Description: partial 16S ribosomal RNA
Rfam family: Bacterial small subunit ribosomal RNA
Source: RNAcentral
AUUGAACGCUGGCGGCAUGCCUUACACAUGCAAGUCGAACGGCAGCGCGGGGGCAACCCUGGCGGCGAGUGGCGAACGGGUGAGUAAUACAUCGGAACGUGUCCUGGAGUGGGGGAUAGCCCGGCGAAAGCCGGAUUAAUACCGCAUACGCUCUGUGGAGGAAAGCGGGGGAUCUUCGGACCUCGCGCUCAAGGGGCGGCCGAUGGCAGAUUAGCUAGUUGGUGGGGUAAAGGCCUACCAAGGCGACGAUCUGUAGCUGGUCUGAGAGGA